GACGAACGCUGGCGGCGUGCUUAACACAUGCAAGUCGAACGGAAAGGCCCUGCUUUUGUUGGUUGCUCGAGUGGCGAACGGGUGAGUAACACGUGAGUAACCUGCCCUUGACUUUGGGAUAAAUUCAGGAAACUGGGGCUAAUACCCGAUAGGAGCUCCUGCUGCAUGUGGGGGGUUGGAGAGUUUCGGCGGUUGGGGAUGGACUCGCGGGUUAUCAGCUUGUUGGGGUGGUAGUGGCGUACCAAGGCUUUGACGGGUAGCCGGCCUGAGAGGGUGACCGGCCACAUUGGGACUGAGAUACGGCCCAGACUCCUACGGGAGGCAGCAGUGGGGAAUAUUGCGCAGUGGGGGGAAGCCUGAUGCAGCGACGCCGCGUGCGGGAUGACGGCCUUCGGGUUGUAAACCGCUUUCGCAUGUGACGAAGCGUGAGUGACGGUAAUGGGUAAAGAAGCACCGGCUAACUACGUG
This 468-nucleotide ribosomal RNA is filed under the name uncultured bacterium. Its description in RNAcentral is "partial 16S ribosomal RNA". It matches the Rfam family "Bacterial small subunit ribosomal RNA", at positions 28 to 507 of the family's 1533-position model. The record is from RNAcentral.